UACGUAGGGAGCAAGCGUUGUCCGGAAUCAUUGGGCGUAAAGCGCGCGUAGGUGGCCUCGUAAGUCCGCUGUGAAAGUCCAAGGCUCAACCUUGGAAAGCCGGUGGAUACUGUGAGGCUAGAGUACGGAAGAGGCGAGUGGAAUUCCUGGUGUAGCGGUGGAAUGCGCAGAUAUCAGGAAGAACACCCGUGGCGAAGGCGGCUCUCUGGGACGUGACUGACGCUGAGACGCGAAAGCGUGGGGAGCGAACAGG
This 253-nucleotide ribosomal RNA is filed under the name uncultured bacterium. Its description in RNAcentral is "partial 16S ribosomal RNA". It matches the Rfam family "Bacterial small subunit ribosomal RNA", at positions 524 to 776 of the family's 1533-position model. The record is from RNAcentral.